AGAAAAAAGGCUCACUGGAUUGCUUGGCAGAAAAUGUGUGCGAGCAAGCAGGAGGGAGGGAUGGGUUUUCGUGAUGUGGAGGCUUUUAACCAAGCGUUACUAGCAAAGCAAGCGUGGAGAAUUAUGCAAGUCCCCUCCUCUCUGUGUGCGCGCGUCCUCAAGGCAUGAUACUUUGAUCAUGGAACAAUUCUCAAUGCAACAUGUCCGAGUGGUGCAUCCUAUACUUUCAGAAGCAUUCUGCAUGGCCGGGAU
RNAcentral lists this ribosomal RNA (252 nucleotides) under Triticum aestivum (bread wheat). Its description in RNAcentral is "partial small subunit ribosomal RNA". Lineage: Eukaryota; Viridiplantae; Streptophyta; Magnoliopsida; Poales; Poaceae. The record is from RNAcentral.